UACGGAGGGUGCAAGCGUUGUUCGGAAUUAUUGGGCGUAAAGGGCAGGCAGGUGGUCUGGUAAGUCUACUGUGCAAUCCCCGGGCUUAACUCGGGAAGUGCGGUGGAUACUGGAUGGCUUGAGUUUGGGAGAGGGAUGCGGAAUUCCAGGUGUAGCGGUGAAAUGCGUAGAUAUCUGGAGGAACACCGGUGGCGAAGGCGGCAUCCUGGACCAACACUGACGCUGAGUGAGCGAAAGCCAGGGGAGCAAACGGG
RNAcentral lists this ribosomal RNA (254 nucleotides) under uncultured bacterium. RNAcentral's name for it is "partial 16S ribosomal RNA". It matches the Rfam family "Bacterial small subunit ribosomal RNA", at positions 524 to 776 of the family's 1533-position model. The record is from RNAcentral.